AAAGCGGUACGCGAGCUGGGUUCAGAACGUCGUGAGACAGUUCGGUCCCUAUCUGUCGUGGGCGCAGGAAAUUUGAGAGGAGCUGUCCUUAGUACGAGAGGACCGGGAUGGACGCACCGCUGGUGCACCAGUUGUUCCGCCAGGAGCACAGCUGGGUAGCUAUGUGCGGUCGGGAUAAGCGCUGAAAGCAUCUAAGCGUGAAGCCCCCCUCAAGAUGAGAUUUCCCACAGCAUAAGCUGGUAAGACCCCUUAAAGAUGAUGAGGUAGAUAGGUUCGGGGUGGAAGCGUGGCAACACGCGGAGCUGACGAAUACUAAUCGGUCGAGGGCUUAACCA
Molecule: ribosomal RNA, 335 nt
Filed under: Aneurinibacillus migulanus
Lineage: Bacteria; Bacillati; Bacillota; Bacilli; Caryophanales; Paenibacillaceae
Description: bacterial LSU rRNA
Rfam family: Bacterial large subunit ribosomal RNA
Source: RNAcentral